CCUACGGGUGGCAGCAGUGGGGGAUAUUGCACAAUGGGGGAAACCCUGAUGCAGCGACGCCGCGUGUGGGAAGACGGUCUUCUGGAUUGUAAACCACUGUCCCAAGGGAGGAAGAUGAUGGUACCUGGGGGGGAAGCUCCGGCUAACAACGAGCCAGCAGCAGCGUUAAUACGUAGGGGGCGAGCGUUGUCGGGAAUUACUGGGUGAAAGGGGAGCGUAGACGGGGAUGCAAGUAGGUGGUCAAAACAACCGGCUCAACUGGUAGUCGCACUCAAAUCUGCAGCUCUUGAGUGAAGCAGAGGCAGACGGAAUUCCUAGUGUAGCGGUGAAAUGCGUAGAUAUUAGGAGGAACACCAGUGGCGAAGGCGGCCUGCUGGGCUUUUACUGACGCUGAGGCGCGAAAGUGUGGGGAGCAAACAGGAUUAGAUACCCCUGUAGUC
This 440-nucleotide ribosomal RNA is filed under the name uncultured bacterium. RNAcentral's name for it is "partial 16S ribosomal RNA". It matches the Rfam family "Bacterial small subunit ribosomal RNA", at positions 338 to 795 of the family's 1533-position model. The record is from RNAcentral.